AGAGUUUGAUCCUGGCUCAGAUUGAACGCUGGCGGCAUUCCUUACACAUGCAAGUCGAACGGCAGCAUGAUCUAGCUUGCUAGAUUGAUGGCGAGUGGCGAACGGGUGAGUAAUACAUCGGAACGUGCCCUGUAGUGGGGGAUAACUAGUCGAAAGAUUAGCUAAUACCGCAUACGACCUGAGGGUGAAAGUGGGGGACCGCAAGGCCUCAUGCUAUAGGAGCGGCCGAUGUCUGAUUAGCUAGUUGGUGGGGUAAAGGCCCACCAAGGCGACGAUCAGUAGCUGGUCUGAGAGGACGAUCAGCCACACUGGGACUGAGACACGGCCCAGACUCCUACGGGAGGCAGCAGUGGGGAAUUUUGGACAAUGGGCGAAAGCCUGAUCCAGCAAUGCCGCGUGUGUGAAGAAGGCCUUCGGGUUGUAAAGCACUUUUGUCCGGAAAGAAAUGGCUCUGGUUAAUACCUGGGGUCGAUGACGGUACCGGAAGAAUAAGGACCGGCUAACUACGUGCCAGCAGCCGCGGUAAUACGUAGG
This 534-nucleotide ribosomal RNA is filed under the name uncultured beta proteobacterium. RNAcentral's name for it is "bacterial SSU rRNA". It matches the Rfam family "Bacterial small subunit ribosomal RNA", at positions 8 to 531 of the family's 1533-position model. Lineage: Bacteria; Pseudomonadati; Pseudomonadota; Betaproteobacteria. The record is from RNAcentral.